This 168-nucleotide ribosomal RNA is filed under the name Vibrio cholerae. RNAcentral describes it as "partial 23S ribosomal RNA". It matches the Rfam family "Bacterial large subunit ribosomal RNA", at positions 2763 to 2925 of the family's 2925-position model. The record is from RNAcentral. Lineage: Bacteria; Pseudomonadati; Pseudomonadota; Gammaproteobacteria; Vibrionales; Vibrionaceae.
GAUAAGCGCUGAAAGCAUCUAAGCGCGAAGCGAGCCCUGAGAUGAGUCUUCCCUGACAGUUUAAGUAUCCUAAAGGGUUGUUCGAGACUAGAACGUUGAUAGGCAGGGUGUGUAAGCGCUGUGAGGCGUUGAGCUAACCUGUACUAAUUGCCCGUGAGGCUUAACCAU